AACGAACGCUGGCGGCAGGCUUAACACAUGCAAGUCGAACGGGUGUAGCAAUACAUCAGUGGCAGACGGGUGAGUAACACGUGGGAACCUUCCUAGAGGUACGGAACAACUCAGGGAAACUUGAGCUAAUACCGUAUAAGCUCUUGCGAGGAAAGAUUUAUCGCCUUUAGACGGGCCCGCGUAGGAUUAGGUAGUUGGUGGGGUAAUGGCCUACCAAGCCUACGAUCCUUAGCUGAUCUGAGAGGAUGAUCAGCCACACUGGGACUGAGACACGGCCCAGACUCCUACGGGAGGCAGCAGUGGGGAAUCUUGGACAAUGGGCGCAAGCCUGAUCCAGCCAUGCCGCGUGAGUGAAGAAGGCCUUCGGGUUGUAAAGCUCUUUUACCAGGGGCGAUAAUGACGGUACCUGGAGAAUAAGCCCCGGCAAACUUCGUGCCAGCCGCCGCAGUAA
This 451-nucleotide ribosomal RNA is filed under the name uncultured bacterium. RNAcentral describes it as "partial 16S ribosomal RNA". It matches the Rfam family "Bacterial small subunit ribosomal RNA", at positions 29 to 523 of the family's 1533-position model. The record is from RNAcentral.